CGAGUUAACUCCGUCCAAGCAGCCGCGUUAUACGGAGGGUGCAAGCGUUAAUCGGGAUUACUGGGCGUAAAGCGCACGCAGGCAGUUUGUUAAGUCAGAUUUGAAAUCCCCCGCGCUUAACGUGAGAACUGCAUUUGAAACUGGCAAGCUAGAGUCUCGUAGAGGGGGGUAGAAUUCCAGGUGUAGCGGUGAAAAUGCGUAGAGAUCUGGAGGAAUACCGGUGGCGAAGGCGGCCCCCUGGACGAAGACUGACGCUCAGGUGCGAAAGCGUGGGGAGCAAAACAGGAUUAGAUACCCUGGUAGUCCACGCUGUAAACGAUGUCGAUUUGGAGGUUGUGCCCUUGAGGCGUGGCUUCCGGAGCUAACGCGUUAAAUCGACCGCCUGGGGAGUACGGCCGCAAGGUUAAAACUCAAAUGAAUUGACGGGGGCCCGCACAAGCGGUGGAGCAUGUGGUUUAAUUCGAUGCAACGCGAAGAACCUUACCUACUCUUGACAUCCAGAGAACUUUCCAGAGAUGGAUUGGUGCCUUCGGGAACUCUGAGACAGGUGCUGCAUGGCUGUCGUCAGCUCGUGUUGUGAAAUGUUGGGUUAAGUCCCGCAACGAGCGCAACCCUUAUCCUUUGUUGCCAGCGAUUCGGUCGGGAACUCAAAGGAGACUGCCGGUGAUAAACCGGAGGAAGGUGGGGAUGACGUCAAGUCAUCAUGGCCCUUACGAGUAGGGCUACACACGUGCUACAAUGGCGUAUACAAAGAGAAGCGAACUCGCGAGAGCAAGCGGACCUCAUAAAGUACGUCGUAGUCCGGAUUGGAGUCUGCAACUCGACUCCAUGAAGUCGGAAUCGCUAGUAAUCGUAGAUCAGAAUGCUACGGUGAAUACGUUCCCGGGCCUUGUACACACCGCCCGUCACACCAUGGGAGUGGGUUGCAAAAGAAGUAGGUAGCUUAACCUUCGGGAGGGCGCUUACACAAGUAUGUGAUGAGAUGAAAGAACUUCU
This 996-nucleotide ribosomal RNA is filed under the name Serratia ficaria. RNAcentral's name for it is "bacterial SSU rRNA". It matches the Rfam family "Bacterial small subunit ribosomal RNA", at positions 493 to 1489 of the family's 1533-position model. Lineage: Bacteria; Pseudomonadati; Pseudomonadota; Gammaproteobacteria; Enterobacterales; Yersiniaceae. The record is from RNAcentral.